Molecule: microRNA precursor, 67 nt
Filed under: Manacus vitellinus (golden-collared manakin)
Lineage: Eukaryota; Metazoa; Chordata; Aves; Passeriformes; Pipridae
Description: mir-367 microRNA precursor family
Rfam family: mir-367 microRNA precursor family
Source: Rfam by way of RNAcentral
CUAAAACUGUUGCUAAUGUGUAACUCUGUUGUUAACAACUGGAAUUGCACUGUAGCAAUGGUGUUGG